CUAUCAGUUUGGCCUUCUCCCAGAAGCAGAAAACUAACUAUAAAUAUGAAACCAGUUUCACUACUGGACCCAGACUUCACAUCAGAAACAAACUUCUCACCUAGGAGUGUCUGCAAUGCAAACAGCGAAAUCAAGGACAUAAGAGAGCCCAGAUUGCUGCCCAGCUCCUUGGAGAGAGGCCAGAGCAUUUGUCAGGAACUGAAAAGUUUUGGAGCCUGUUCGAGGACUUUCUGGUACACAAAGUAUUGGCUGGAAAUGUGAAUAUAAAACUGAGACAUGAACCUGACCAAGUCCCUUCUACGAGGCUUGUAUAAACAGCUCAUUUGACUGUCUUAACAGUUUUUGACACUCUGGUCUAGAAGUUCUUUGAGAUGUUGUGACAGAUAUAAUGGAGUUUUCUUCUCUUAGGAGAAUACCUUGUCUGAUGUUCACAUGUUUAACCUGUGGUUAUAAUGUUUACAUAUUUAACUUUCGGUCUCCAGCAUCUACCCAGUCUGAUGUUCACAUGUUUCACUUGUGGUCUCCAGCAUCCACCUAGUAUAAUGUUUAUAUGUUUAACCUACGGUCUCCAGCAUCCACCUGGUCUGAUGUUCACAUGUUUAACCUGUGGCUUCUGGCAUUCACCUAAUCUGAUGUUCACACGCUUAACCUGUGGUCUCCAGCAUCCUCACAAUUUGCCUGUUAUCUGUCUUAAGCUGCAAUGCAUGAUAGGAAAGCACAGAUGUUCUGUCUUAAAUGGGGGGGGAGGAUGGUUAAUGAGCUUUGAGUGAGUUCGUAUACGUAAAUUAUGGGGGAGAAGGCUAUUUACAAAGAAUAAAUCUGACUUACACAUUUCAGGACCCUGGUUUCCACUUUCUCUGGGGUUUCGAAGCGGGCUCUAAAGUGUGAAGUUGCCUGACGAGUCCAGAGUUACUCUCCAGUAAAAACAAGAAGACGCCCACGAAAGCAUAAAUCCGAGCUGGAUUAGCAGUGUUUAGUUUGGGAUGACGGAGGAUAAGAGCUUUCUGGUUGUGCAAGUGAGAUAAGUGUUUUUGUUCGUGUUUGUCAAGGAUGACCUAUGCGCAAACUACAAAAGGACUUUGCCUUUUUCUUGGCGCUGGCUUGUGUUCCUGGGAGCUUCACGGCAUUCCGUCCUGAAGCAGCACAGACGAGUUGAUUUUUAUUUUAUGUUGUGCUUGUGAGGCAUUAGCAUGAUGUUCUAACACUUGUAAAUGAAUACAGCUCUUGCCUAAUCUGUCAUUUUAAUGCCUUAUAGAUUUUAUUUCACUCGAUGUUGUACCAGAUUCUCAAUAAUAAUAAUCAACAGCUUUGUUGUUCUCUGGCAGAAAUUAAAUUUCUGCAGUGAGUGUGCAACUAAUAAAAAAUGUUGCUUGAGGAAACAAAGAAUAAAUAUGAUGAAUCAUAAAAGUUGGGGGGAGGCCUUGCUCCUAGAUGGAAGACAAUUACGGACCGAGUGGCGAAUGUGUCUGAUUCUCAUCUUGUCAACAGCUUAAUAACCCUCCGAAAGUCUUUAGCCACAGUGCUUAUGUCUGCGCAUUAACCUCACGGACUUGGUGUUUUCCGUGAUUUCAUUUGGAAGCAUUAGAAUAAAAGGUGCGGUACUAAGACGGCCGUUCUCUUUGCUGUGCGCCCCAGAUAAGUUUUGCUCACAGCUGCCAGUUUGCACUCUCACAUUCCUUUUAUCUUGUCCCCUGUCAUAAGCCAUCCAGAAGAGCAGCAUUAAAGGCAGCGGUGUGGGACUCGGAGUAUUGGCAAAGGCUGUAAAGUGGAAAAUAAACAGUGUGUCUAUCACCAGGCUACAAGAACGCAGCCCCCAUAGCUCGGAAAUGACAGUCCGUGGCAAGCAACUAAUUGGUCACCAGCUUUGGAAGAAAUAUAUUCUUCCAGACCUCUGUCACUUGCCAUGUUCUUUAAACUCAUGAAAAAAAAAACCACCAGGUUGAAGUGUUGGCACUAACCUCCGAAGGAAAGAAAAUGGAGAGCUAAGGCUGCAGGGCUGAGUGAACGCUUUGGAGACCCAGUGAUUGGAGCCAUUCACUGCUAAGAAGAAAGGCUUUCCUGUAAAACAACAGACUUGCCCAUUGUGCACAGGUACCCUGUGAGGUGAACGCGAGGUGUGUGAUGAAUGCGGGAUGUCACAGAACAUCUUCCUGAGAGAGAAUUUAAUGUGGGGACUGAGUCUCCAUGUGCCCCUCGCCCCUUUUGUCUAUCUUGGUGCGGUUGUGACGCUGGUGAGUUUCAGGAGAGCAAGAGAAAACUUGUUCAUAUCCUAAGAGAAGGGUGUCUGAAACACCUGUUAUUUAAAUGUGUGCCUCCAAUCAGCCUAACUUGGUUAAUGAUGCUUUCGUGUGUCAGACUAAAGUCCAGCAUCCUCGUCAGACUAACCAUUUGGUCAUCUUAGGAACACAGAUGCAUAUACGCCAGGAGCUGGGGGGGCUAGCAGCUUUAGAAACCAAACACUGCUGCUGUGGUGCUGAGCCUCGCAUCUGCUGGCAUGAGUGGACCUUAGAGGGCCCCAGACCUCUAGAGUUGUACCCUUUCGUUUAUUGGCGUAUGUGCAUUGUGCAAAAGUUCACUGGUCUCUUCAGAUUCUUACACAAGUACAAAGCGACAACAGGGGAAAUCACAUAAGAGUUGACUAAAAGCCGUGCUGUGACUUGAAUGUGAAAAGUCCCUUGAAGGCUCCUGCUGUUUCUAGAGGUAGUAUUGUUUGGGGAGGCUAUGGGAACUCUGGGACCUGUAGACAGCCUGCUGAGCAUGGGGGCUCAUGUCUAUAAUUCUAUCACUCAGAGCUGAAGCAGAAAUAUUGUGAGUCUGGUGUGAUCUUGAACUACUACAGUAAGAUCCAUUGUCAGAGGGUGGAGGGGAAAGAGGGAGAGAAAGCAAGUCUUCCAGUCUUCCUUUCUUCUCUCCUUGGGCUUGGGGUAGGGCGACAGACUCCCUGGCUGCUCCUCUGGACUUCUCUGUCAUUUUCUUUCACAGGCGAAUACUCCUCUAAAUUCCUUGCACAUCAAGUUCUAUCUUGGCACUGGUUUCUGGAAGAUCUUAAAAUUCACAUUUUUAACAUAAUAAUCAAAUUCACAUUGUUUUCACCAUUCAAUGGUUGCCAAAUAGUGUGUUGCUUAGAUCUCUCAUUUAAUCCCCUCAAAUCGCAAGAGAUAUUGGCUGAGUUUUGUAAGCAAUGCCCCUAAGAGGAGGCUGAGGUUAGCCUGGGGGACAUGGGGAGACCCUGUGUCAAGCAAAACAACAUAACAACAGGGAGCAGACAACAAAACCCGAGGAAUCACCCUUCUUUAGAGGAGGGACAUCAUCUAUAGGGCAGUAGAUUGCAGAGUUACCACAUGAAGAACAUUCUGUUCUGUUUUUCCCACGCAGCUCAUGGCCACUAAACCAUCACCUUCUUGAAGUAACUGGAAGGAGUUCUCCUUUCCAAGACACAUUAAUAACAGAAAUUGCCUCUGUGUGCCCUUGGCCAUGACCAUGCUGGAAAAGGAAGUCGUUACUCAGCUUGGCUUCCCUGCUUAUGAACACUGAUAAGGGAGUCCUACAGGAACACACAGAAGCUUACCAGGAAACACAAAUUAAGAGGAUGGCCAGAUGGAUGAAAUCUCUCAGAGAACCAUGUGUACUGCACCUUGACAUUCGACUCCGCUGCAGUAGUCUGGAAAGGAGUGUCUCUUACAGAAAUACCAAGGCAUGCUGCCCACUGGUAAAGGUGGAGUGGAAAAAUGACAUGGUCCCUUUGGGUCCUUGCCCAAGACAUCAUGCCUCCCUGGCAUGCACACUGACCAGAGGUGGCAUUGCCUGGACCUCAGCUCCAAUUCCACAAAUGCAGACCUUUUGGUAUUGUCUUGGGGUCUCUAGCUUCAAAACACAGUGUUACAGAUUUUACUAUGUCUCCUUUCUAAGCCUUUUUCCCUUGGCAUGGGUAUUCUGCUUACCCCACUGGUGACUCCCCUUGCCCCCGCUGUCUCUCAGGCCUUGAAUGCUGAUGUGUGCUGGAAAUGAAGGCGCUCUCGCAGCCCCUGUUGACACUGGUCUAAGAUCUCUGUCUGAGGUACUAUCAGGGAAUUCGCAGGGCAUUCAUCAAAAUCAAGCUGAUGCAAGCGUGAGUAGUCACAGAAAGAACCCUUUUAUGCUGAAAACUGCUGAAGGCUGGAAAGGGGCUAAUUUAUUUAAAUUAUCCCUCGACGUGUCAAGUCCCACAUUUUCUGGAAGGAGCUGACAAGGGUGGGUUAAAGAAAGUUUUCUCAAAUUUAUAAAUACAUUAGUGGUGGUGGAAAGUGAACCUGGGAAAUCGGAGUAACAGAAAAGCAAUCACCAUCAAUGCCGAUGCCGAUGGAGGAAAAUACAGUUUUCUUCUAUUAAGCUUUUAAAUGUCAGCAAAUGGCAGUUUAGUAGAUCAUUUGCUAAUAAUGAUUAAAUUUCUCAUUAAAAUGUUUCCUUCAUUAUUCUUCAGGUAUAAAUGUGUAAUUCAAUGAUUGUUACAUCAAUUACACUUAAAAAGCUCAUUAAAAUACUGAAAUAUUAUCUCAUAGAGUACUUUAAGAGUACUGUACUAAUUAUAAAAGAAAUAAACUCUUAUAAUAGCACCAUUUGAACUGAUGCCUUAUAAAUUCUUAAUGUAAAGCUAACAUGUAAAGUUUAAAUCAAAUAUAUAGAUCCAAUAAAACAAAACCUUUUUAAUCUUGUUUUACCUUCAGAAGGGCUCUGAUUAUUGUAAUUAAAUAAUGCAUGAUAUAAUAAAGAUCUAGACUGUGUGA
Molecule: non-coding RNA, 4763 nt
Organism: Myodes glareolus (Bank vole)
Lineage: Eukaryota; Metazoa; Chordata; Mammalia; Rodentia; Cricetidae
Source: RefSeq, a predicted model, not a curated record